Molecule: ribosomal RNA, 580 nt
Filed under: uncultured bacterium
Lineage: Bacteria
Description: bacterial SSU rRNA
Rfam family: Bacterial small subunit ribosomal RNA
Source: RNAcentral
GGGUGAGUAAUAUAUCGGAACGUACCCUGGAGUGGGGGAUAACGUAGCGAAAGUUACGCUAAUACCGCAUACGAUCUAAGGAUGAAAGUGGGGGAUCGCAAGACCUCAUGCUCCUGGAGCGGCCGAUAUCUGAUUAGCUAGUUGGUAGGGUAAAAGCCUACCAAGGCAUCGAUCAGUAGCUGGUCUGAGAGGACGACCAGCCACACUGGAACUGAGACACGGUCCAGACUCCUACGGGAGGCAGCAGUGGGGAAUUUUGGACAAUGGGCGCAAGCCUGAUCCAGCAAUGCCGCGUGAGUGAAGAAGGCCUUCGGGUUGUAAAGCUCUUUUGUCAGGGAAGAAACGGCCUGUUCUAAUACAGCGGGCUAAUGACGGUACCUGAAGAAUAAGCACCGGCUAACUACGUGCCAGCAGCCGCGGUAAUACGUAGGGUGCAAGCGUUAAUCGGAAUUACUGGGCGUAAAGCGUGCGCAGGCGGUUUUGUAAGUUUGUCGUGAAAUCCCCGGGCUCAACCUGGGAAUGGCGAUGAAGACUGCAAGGCUAGAGUUUGGCAGAGGGGGGUAGAAUUCCACGUGUAGCA